This 253-nucleotide ribosomal RNA is filed under the name uncultured bacterium. RNAcentral describes it as "partial 16S ribosomal RNA". It matches the Rfam family "Bacterial small subunit ribosomal RNA", at positions 524 to 776 of the family's 1533-position model. The record is from RNAcentral.
UACGUAGGGGGCAAGCGUUGUCCGGAAUUAUUGGGCGUAAAGAGCGCGUAGGCGGUCCGUUAAGUCGGCUGUGAAAGUCAAGGGCUCAACCCUUGGAAGCCGGCCGAUACUGUCGGACUAGAGUCCGGAAGAGGCGAGUGGAAUUCCCGGUGUAGCGGUGAAAUGCGCAGAUAUCGGGAGGAACACCAAUUGCGAAGGCAGCUCGCUGGGACGGUACUGACGCUGAGGCGCGAAAGCGUGGGGAGCAAACAGG